This 237-nucleotide RNase P RNA is filed under the name Sphingobacteriaceae bacterium. RNAcentral describes it as "partial RNase P RNA component class A". It matches the Rfam family "Bacterial RNase P class A", at positions 1 to 244 of the family's 367-position model. Rfam says of the family: Ribonuclease P (RNase P) is a ubiquitous endoribonuclease, found in archaea, bacteria and eukarya as well as chloroplasts and mitochondria. Its best characterised activity is the generation of mature 5'-ends of tRNAs by cleaving the 5'-leader elements of precursor-tRNAs. Cellular RNase Ps are ribonucleoproteins. The record is from RNAcentral. Lineage: Bacteria; Pseudomonadati; Bacteroidota; Sphingobacteriia; Sphingobacteriales; Sphingobacteriaceae.
CAAGCAAAACGUUCUGCCGCUCUGUUUUUUACGGGGAGGAAAGUCCGGGCAGCACAGGGCACCCUGCUUCCUAACGGGAAGGCGCCAUCCGGAUGGGCGACAGCAAGUGCCACAGAAAAUAAACCGCCCAAAGCAGUUUGGGUAAGGGUGAAAACGUGCGGUAAGAGCGCACGGCCUGGCAUGGCAACAUGCCUUGCGGUAAACCUCAGGGGCUGAAAGGCCAAAUAAGUUCUGGUA